UGACCGCUGGCGGUAGGCCUAACACAUGCACGUCGACCGGCAGCACAGUAAGAGCUUGCUCUUACGGGUGGCGAGUGGCGGACGGGUGAGGAAUACAUCGGAAUCUACUUUUUCGUGGGGGAUAACGUAGGGAAACUUACGCUAAUACCGCAUACGACCUACGGGUGAAAGCAGGGGAUCUUCGGACCUUGCGCGAUUGAAUGAGCCGAUGUCGGAUUAGCUAGUUGGCGGGGUAAAGGCCCACCAAGGCGACGAUCCGUAGCUGGUCUGAGAGGAUGAUCAGCCACACUGGAACUGAGACACGGUCCAGACUCCUACGGGAGGCAGCAGUGGGGAAUAUUGGACAAUGGGCGCAAGCCUGAUCCAGCCAUACCGCGUGGGUGAAGAAGGCCUUCGGGUUGUAAAGCCCUUUUGUUGGGAAAGAAAAGCAGCAGGUUAAUACCCCGCUGUUCUGACGGUACCCAAAGAAUAAGCACCGGCUAACUUCGUG
This 490-nucleotide ribosomal RNA is filed under the name uncultured bacterium. RNAcentral describes it as "partial 16S ribosomal RNA". It matches the Rfam family "Bacterial small subunit ribosomal RNA", at positions 30 to 507 of the family's 1533-position model. The record is from RNAcentral.